RNAcentral lists this unclassified non-coding RNA (205 nucleotides) under Hevea brasiliensis (rubber tree). The record is from RNAcentral. Lineage: Eukaryota; Viridiplantae; Streptophyta; Magnoliopsida; Malpighiales; Euphorbiaceae.
CUACAGCGUAUGAUAGACACGGCCGCUGUGUAAGAUAUGCGGAGCUAUGCUAAUAACAUUUUAUCGCUGGCCUACCGUCUGUCUAGUUUACGAAGUAAACGAGGAAACGUGGUCCUCAACGACCUUCUUGAUCUGCGACUCGAUCUCGGGGGUGAUCUGACCCUUGGAGAUCUCCUGGAGGAGCGCGCCGUGGGUGGCGGUGAGG